This 253-nucleotide ribosomal RNA is filed under the name uncultured bacterium. RNAcentral's name for it is "partial 16S ribosomal RNA". It matches the Rfam family "Bacterial small subunit ribosomal RNA", at positions 524 to 776 of the family's 1533-position model. The record is from RNAcentral.
UACAGAGGUCUCGAGCGUUGUUCGGAUUCACUGGGCGUAAAGGGUGCGUAGGCGGUCGGGUAAGUCUGAUGUGAAAUCUCACAGCUUAACUGUGAAACUGCAUUGGAUACUAUCCGGCUCGAGGAAUGGAGGGGAGACUGGAAUACUUGGUGUAGCAGUGAAAUGCGUAGAUAUCAAGUGGAACACCAGUGGCGAAGGCGAGUCUCUGGGCCGAUAUUGACGCUGAGGAGCGAAAGCGUGGGGAGCAAACAGG